This is a long non-coding RNA of Papaver somniferum (opium poppy), 2443 nucleotides long. RefSeq lists it as uncharacterized. The record is from RefSeq and is a predicted model, not a curated record. Lineage: Eukaryota; Viridiplantae; Streptophyta; Magnoliopsida; Ranunculales; Papaveraceae. The transcript is spliced from 3 exons.
CUUCUUUCUUCUUCUUUCGUUUUUUUCUAUUCUUCUUCCGGUUUUGCUCCUGCGAGAGUUAUAAGAAUCGAGACUGAUUUUUCAGCGAAAGUAACUCGGUGAUGGAGUUGUUUAGAUAAUGGAGGAGUCGAAGUUGUUGUUUAAGAAGAAAAGAUGAAUCAGAGAAUCAAGUUAAGGUUUCCCAGAUAAUCGAAUUAAAGUUCGAAUCGAUGACGCAUAAAAAGAUUUAUAGAUUGGGUUUAGCUGAUGGAAGAAAGGUUUGGAGUUAAUUAGAAGUCAUGGAGUUGUUCAUGAAGAAUAAGAGUGAGUUAUAAAUCGGAAGUUAGGGUUUCUUGAACAGUAACUCAGAGAAGCUUUUGAAGAUGAAAUUGAUGUACUACAGAAGGGGUUGUUGUGGAAUCAAGGUUCUGAAGUCGUUUAUGAUGAUGGAUCAAAGAAGUUAGAGUUAGGAUUUCUCAAGACAACCUCAAAGAAGAAUUAAGAGUUCGAUUUGUUGACCAUUAAGAGGGAUUGAAGGAUGGGUUUUGAAGAUUACGAGGUAAAGCAGAAGUUAGUGAUGUUGAUUUGAAGAUACAAUUAUAAAGAAAGUUUAGGGAUCAAAUUAGGGUUUGAUACUGGUUCUGAAUUAGAAUGGGAAAUAGAAGGUUUAUCGGGUCAUUGUUCUUGCUUCAAAUUAGAGAAAUCAUGAGUUGGGAAUUGGCCGUGAUGAACUGUUGGAUUAGGGAUGAGAAGGUGAUAUGUUGCUGAACCGAAUUCAAUUGCCUGAGUAGAACUAGUCAGAGGUAAUGGUGUUUGCUAGUUAAUUGAGUAAUGUUUUUGUGUUGGAAUUGUAUUGGUAAUGAACAGAAUGUGGACUGCAGGUGGAAUGGGAAGUGAAUUGGUAAUACAGAUAAAGACUGUUGAGUGUUGAUUGAACUAAUAGGUAUUUAUAGUCUUAUGAUGUAUUGAUUUUUCAGUGAAUUGGAGUUUGUAUAUGUGAAUUCGACAUGAGUAUGGAUUGCUGAAGGAACUGGUGUUAGUGGUUAGUGAGUUUAAGAAUUUGGAAUGUUAAUAGAGUUGAACAGAUGAGUGUUGUUGAGGUUUAUAAUUUCAGAGUGUAGAGAUUGAUGGAAUUGCAGGUUUGGAAUUGGAUGAGAGUUACAAUAUAAUUUGAGGGAGUUGGAAUAACGUAUGAGUUGGUGUAUGAACUGGUAUAAGGAGAUGAGAUGAAAGACAGUGGUAACUUAAUUGAGUUGGUCUGAGUGUUGCUUAGAGCUGCAAUCGCAGUUGUACGAGUUGCUGCCAGAGAUAAGGGAAGCUAAGUAGAGUUGCAGUUAGUGUUUGAUGUGGAAGCUUUGAACUGCUGAAUUGCAGUUUCAGAGACAGAUCAGAGCUGCGCAACGGAAGCUUCGAGGAGUCGAGUCCGUUAGUUGGUUAACUUCUGCUAUGUUUAUUAUGUUGAAUAUACUAUCUGUAAACUAAAUGGCUAUUGUAUAUGUAUUAUUUGAGAGAAGUUUUUGUAUAUAUAUAAUUCUGAGCGGGGCUAGUUUUGGGUUAAGUCUUUAUAUAAGAUUUCUUAAUUGAAUGCUUAAGUUUAUGAUUUAGACUCUUAGUGUCUCUUUAUUUAGUUAAUCUCUUGGAUUAGUCAGCUACUAGCUUAGGGGGCGCUACAAUGAAGAAGGAGAAUACUAACCCAGCAGCGUGCAGAAAGAAGCUUAGCUAUGGCCAUUACUCUGCUGCUAUCAGAGUCCUUUCUUCAAAUGGUAUAGCACUACCCAACCCAGACACACUGUUUGAGCUUCAUCAGAAACAUCCAGAUGGACCUUCUCCACAUAUACCUGCUGAGGAUAUUUCAACACCUCCUUUAUCUGUGGAUGCUAAAUCAGUUUUGUCUGUUUAAAAAGAUUUCCCAAAGGCACGUCAUGCGGGAGAAAUGGCUUAAGAGCACAUCAUCUCCUUGAUGCUCUGAGUGGUAAUGCUGCAGAUGUUGCAGAUGAACUACUUGAUUCGAUUACUGGUGUGGUUAAUAUCUGGUUAUCUGGUGCUUGUCCUCCAAUUUUAGGCGAGUAUGUGGCUAAUGUGCCUUUGAUUCCGUUGAUAAAACCAGGUGGUGGGGUUAGGCCAAUCACUGUUGGCACAAUAUGGAGAAGAUUAUGCUAUAAGAUGGCUGCUACCUCAGUGUGCAAGAAAGUCACUUCAUAUCUGGGUACUCACCAAUUUGGUGUUGGUAUUCCUUGUGGUGGUGAAGCCAUUUUACACACGGCUAACAGAUUGUUGGAUAUGAAGGGUGAUUGCAACACAGACCAUGAUGCUCAUAGAUUUUUCGAAUGCUUUCAAUCUUGUAGACAGGUCUAUUUUGAUUCGUGAGGUUAUAACUCACUACCCCAAGCAUUGCAAAAUGGGUCGAGUUUUGUUAUUCUACGCCUGCUAGAUUGUAUUACAACGCUGUAGUUCUUUCAUCAGC